This is a non-coding RNA of Malus domestica (apple), 1464 nucleotides long. NCBI's taxonomy places the organism in Eukaryota, Viridiplantae, Streptophyta, Magnoliopsida, Rosales, Rosaceae. The record is from RefSeq and is a predicted model, not a curated record.
CUUCAUGCUUCUAUUGCUUUUCAUUGUUUUGUCUCGAACUGCUCUUUCAUUGUUUUCGGUUUUGCUGUCCGUGGCUCUGUCUCGCUAUCUUCUUUCUCGGUCUCACUCGCUCUCAGACUGGAUGGUUUUUCGACUUGGAAGGAAAUCGGUUUCGAGGUUUGCCAGAUUUGUGGAGUUGUGAUUGGGGGUUGAAGAUUUUGGUGUUUUUGCGUUUGUUUUCAUCUGCGAUUGACGAAUUUUGGCCGGAUCUGUUCCCUGUUUUUUUCUCUGUUUGAACGACGGCUGCCUUUCGGUUGUUAAGCGACGACUGUCUUUAGAUCGUUGGAGAAUAAAUUUAUUACAACUGAGGUCCUGCUGACACCAACUCAUCUAGCCAUUGUGAUGGAGUAACUGGGGGAGAACUCUUCGAGAGAAUAAUCAGUGCUGGCAGAUUUAGUGAGGAUGAGGAAUACUCAACCGCGGUUCCAGUUCAUCGUUAUGAAUCGGCGCAAUACGGGUACAAAUUCUUUACACCCACGCUUAUUUAGGUGAAGUUUGCAAUCCAAUACAUGAGAAGAGUUAUCUAGAAAAAGGCAAAAUAUGACAUAUUAACGUGAACACCAUUAAGGGUGGUGGUCUGUCAUUUUGUUCUUCUUUUGUCUAAUUAUGUGUGCUUUUCAAGCUUUGUUAUAUUCAAAUUUUAAUGCACUUGAUACUUACUUCAGAAUCAUUGGCAUUGAUCAAAUAAGGCAGGCGAGAGAAAAGAAAUUGACAAAGCAGAAAGCUUUAGUGAAAGCUAGAAAGCUUCAGUGAAAGCUAGAAAGCUUCAGUGAAAGCUAGAAAGCUUCAGGCUAGCAACAGAAAAGGAAUUGACAAAGCAGAAAGCUUUAGAGAAAGCUAGAAAGCUUCAGAUAAUAAUCAUGAAUAUAUUUUGGGUUAUUCUUCUUUUCAUAAGCUCGAAGUGCAAAUGGUACUUGAAAUGCAAUGCUUAUUUUGUGGUUCACAAUUUUCCUGAAAGGUUACAUACAUAUGGUUUAUACAAAGAGUUUCUGGUGAUGGGAAUUAUCAGAUAUCUGCAAUAAUGAGAAUGCAAAGUAAUAGUGUUGCAAGGUAUAAAUUCUAUUAUGAAUUCUUCAGCUGAUUUGGGGCAGAGGAGGGGGGAGGAAGUUCUGUUCAAAUUUGGUUUUUCCAAUGGCUUUGGAAGAAAUUAUAUCGCUAUUGUUAUUACAGGUGUCCAGUUUGCAGAAAUGACAAGGUAUGCUACAAUCUAUUCUUUGGUAGAUUUGAUUCAAAUUGGUAGAUUUCGGUAAGAAAUAAACUUUUAUCUUUUCUUUUAGUUAAAGACAGUUAGGACAUCAAUUUGUAAAAGAUAUGAAUAUUAACAAUGGUGAUAGAACCGUCAAUCCAUAUAGUUGUAAAUAGAUUUGAACAUAUAUGUAAAUAUUACAUAUUAUUGCAUAUCGUGUGUAUUUAUAACUUUCUACA